RNAcentral lists this ribosomal RNA (253 nucleotides) under uncultured bacterium. Its description in RNAcentral is "partial 16S ribosomal RNA". It matches the Rfam family "Bacterial small subunit ribosomal RNA", at positions 524 to 776 of the family's 1533-position model. The record is from RNAcentral.
UACAGGGGGGGCAAGCGUUGUUCGGAAUUACUGGGCGUAAAGGGUCUGUAGGUGGCCAACUAAGUCAAACGUGAAAUCCCUCAGCUUAACUGGGGAACUGCGUCUGAUACUGGAUGGCUCGAGUGUGGGAGAGGAAUGCGGAAUUCCAGGUGUAGCGGUGAAAUGCGUAGAUAUCUGGAGGAACACCGGUGGCGAAGGCGGCGUUCUGGACUGCAACUGACACUGAAGAACGAAAGCCAGGGGAGCAAACGGG